GGAGGUAUGGCUCAGUGGUAGAGCAAUCGGCUGCAGUCCCAUAGGUCACUAGUUCGAUCCUGGUUGCCUCCU
RNAcentral lists this transfer RNA (72 nucleotides) under Selaginella moellendorffii. It matches the Rfam family "tRNA". From Rfam's summary of the family: Transfer RNA (tRNA) molecules are approximately 80 nucleotides in length. Their secondary structure includes four short double-helical elements and three loops (D, anti-codon, and T loops). Lineage: Eukaryota; Viridiplantae; Streptophyta; Lycopodiopsida; Selaginellales; Selaginellaceae. The record is from Rfam by way of RNAcentral.